This 582-nucleotide ribosomal RNA is filed under the name Trichoderma tomentosum. Its description in RNAcentral is "eukaryotic LSU rRNA". The stretch from base 205 to 358 matches the Rfam family "5.8S ribosomal RNA". The record is from RNAcentral. Lineage: Eukaryota; Fungi; Ascomycota; Sordariomycetes; Hypocreales; Hypocreaceae.
GGGGCUACGGAGCUUAACUCCCAACCCAAUGUGACGUUACCAAACUGUUGCCUCGGCGGGAACUCAUGCCCCGGGUGCGUCGCAGCCCCGGACCAAGGCGCCCGCCGGAGGACCAACCAAAACUCUUUUUGUAUACCCCCUCGCGGGUUUUUUAUAAUCUGAGCCUUCUCGGCGCCUCUCGUAGGCGUUUCGAAAAUGAAUCAAAACUUUCAACAACGGAUCUCUUGGUUCUGGCAUCGAUGAAGAACGCAGCGAAAUGCGAUAAGUAAUGUGAAUUGCAGAAUUCAGUGAAUCAUCGAAUCUUUGAACGCACAUUGCGCCCGCCAGUAUUCUGGCGGGCAUGCCUGUCCGAGCGUCAUUUCAACCCUCGAACCCCUCCGGGGGGUCGGCGUUGGGGAUCGGCCCUCCUCUUGCGGGGGCCGUCUCCGAAAUACAGUGGCGGUCUCGCCGCAGCCUCUCCUGCGCAGUAGUUUGCACACUCGCAUCGGGAGCGCGGCGCGUCCACAGCCGUUAAACACCCAACUUCUGAAAUGUUGACCUCGGAUCAGGUAGGAAUACCCGCUGAACUUAAGCAUAUCAAAA